This 392-nucleotide ribosomal RNA is filed under the name uncultured bacterium. RNAcentral describes it as "bacterial SSU rRNA". It matches the Rfam family "Bacterial small subunit ribosomal RNA", at positions 356 to 763 of the family's 1533-position model. The record is from RNAcentral.
AAGGAAUCUUCCACAAUGGGCGAAAGCCUGAUGGAGCAACGCCGCGUGCAGGAUGAAGGCCCUCGGGUCGUAAACUGCUUUUAUGAGUGAAGAAUAUGACGGUAACUCAUGAAUAAGCACCGGCUAACUACGUGCCAGCAGCCGCGGUCAUACGUAGGGUGCAAGCAUUAUCCGGAGUGACUGGGCGUAAAGAGUUGCGUAGGCGGUUAGUAAAGCGAAUAGUGAAACCUGGUGGCUCAACCAUACAGACUAUUAUUCGAACUCACUAACUCGAGAGUGGUAGAGGUAACUGGAAUUUCUUGUGUAGGAGUGAAAUCCGUAGAUAUAAGAAGGAACACCAAUGGCGUAGGCAGGUUACUGGACCAUUUCUGACGCUAAGGCACGAAAGCGUG